Molecule: RNA transcript, 2163 nt
Organism: Parus major (Great Tit)
Lineage: Eukaryota; Metazoa; Chordata; Aves; Passeriformes; Paridae
Exons: 3
Source: RefSeq, a predicted model, not a curated record
GAUGUGACGUCACGUGAAGGCGCGUCACUGCCGCAUCACUUCCCACGGCUUUUCCGCGUCACUUCCCGAGGCUUUUCCGCCCCUUUUGUCCGGCCGGGCCCGCUCCCACGGGCGGCUCCAGCGGCUGCUGCCCCUCCCCAGGCUCUCCCCCGAGCCCCCUCCCCACUCAGCCCCGGGCAGGCUCCGCAGGGGUCCCGCUGCCUCGGGGUGGGGGUAAAGCCUGUCCUCCCCCGGAGCCCCCCCCACUGCCACGCGGGUGGGUUGGUGGGGAGAGGGCGCCGGGAGGUCCCCGCCGGGGCGGGGAUGAUGCUCCGGGGAGCAUCGUGGCUUUCUCCAGGGGGGCUCCCCAGUUUGGGGGAUAGAGUGGGGGUGGAUGCCGUUUUGGUGCUGCUGGAGCUCUGCGCGGGACGGGCCGGUGCCGCAGCGGUGAAUCCCGCAGCGCCUCCCGAGCCCUCCCGGCACCGCUCCCAGCCCGACGCCCCGGGGGCAUCCUCGGAGCUGCAGCAUCCUGCAUCCCACCGCUCCUUCCCGGGAAACGCCCCAGGUGAGGAGGAGGAGGGAGGUCUGAGCCUCUCUUUCCUAUCCCAGCACUCCUGGAUCACCUGGAGCAAGGGGAAGCUCCGGAGAAUCUGAGAAGGAAAAUCAAGGUGUGGAUCCAGGUGCUUGUGUUGGCAGGCCUGGACAGAGUUAAUUCAUCUAAUUUGAGGAAAAUCCUUGGGAUUGGUGCUGCUGGAUUAGUGAUGGGCUGGCAUCUCCUAAACCCAUCCUGAGGGGGUCGGGAGGACAGUCAGGAUUGCUCCAACACCACUGGGCUAACCCAGAAUUCCUGAUGGGGAGAAAAAAAGAGGAUUUGCUCACCAGCAGGGAAUGCUCCCCACAUCCUGGGAUGGCCUCACUGCCACUCACGUGGAUCCUCUUGGAGAGGUGCUUCCCUCUGCUCCUGGAGGUCUGAGAGCUGAUGAACCUCACCCAGGGGUGCCUCAGACACCGAAGCUGAGCACAUUCCACAUUGUAGAGUUAAUUUUCCCUUCCUGCCAGCUCUCUCUAUUAAUGCUGGGAUCUUGUGGGUGGUGCAAAACCCGGUAAUUACCCACUUUUAUAGUAAAAAGAUAGAAUUCUCCCCAAGCACUGCGGAGAGUACGCAGAGUGAAUCCCUGGGAGUGCCUGGGUUAAGUUUCCAUGGGUGAAAUCCCUCUCCUAAGCGCCGUGAGGGCAGGAGGAGCUGAUGGCACAGACCAGGAUCUAGGAUUUGUGGAUACUCUGAGUGCAGGAGAGGUGGGCUGCUGCGGGCGAGGUCUAGCUGUGCCACGCAGGGUGACAGUGACACAGACAAAGCCACCAGGAGAGCUCAGGUGAGCCCAAGGGGGGUUGAAUCCAGGGAGGAAUCAACACCUCAAAGCCACAAAGGGGCUGCCAUGGACCUUUACCCACUUGUGAGCCACCCUGAGGCCUGCAGGGCUCAGAUCCCGCGGGGGAGCAUGUCCCUUGCUCAGGCUCACGGGCUCUGUGCGUGGCAGUUAAAAAUAUAUAAAAAUAUCUAUAUUCUGUAUAUUUAGCAUCCCUGCUCUGGGUAACCGUAGCAACUGGGUUUAUUUUGCUUAAACCUGGCCUGGCAUAUGAUGUGGUUGGGAAGGAACAGCUGAGGGGAAACAGAGGGAUGAAGUUCUCUGUGCUGGAAGCUGGGGAGGAGCCUUGGCACGGGAUUGUUCUUGGGGUAACCUUGCUGUGUCCCUACACCGGGGACAGCCACCAGCAUUCCCACGGCUCUGCCCCAUCCCUUUUGCUCCAGCUGCAAAGGGAAGGUUUUGUUUUAGGGGUUCCAUCCCCAUUUUCUGCCGGGCCUCCCAGGACACCCCUGACCGCUGCUCCUUGGCCCGUGCAGAUUUGCCAAAUCCAGGUCCUGGCAGGAAGAGGUGGUGAUGGCUUCCCUGAUGUCUGGAGAUGCGUGCCCUCACCUGGAGCAGCAGGAGCCUCAUGCCACCCCAAGGCAAAGGAGGCACCUUCAUCAGCUCCACCAGAACCCCACCAGAGUGGGCUUCCACCCCCUUCUCUCACCCAGCAUCUGCAGCCCCCAGGACACAGCAGACAGCCUCUCCUUAUCCUCAAAGCUGCCAGCUCAGGCUUAAAUUUCCUGUAUUUUACUAGAAAACCCGAUUCCUCGUG